Long non-coding RNA from Lingula anatina, 677 nucleotides. RefSeq lists it as uncharacterized. The record is from RefSeq and is a predicted model, not a curated record. Lineage: Eukaryota; Metazoa; Brachiopoda; Lingulata; Lingulida; Lingulidae.
UAAGAAACGAUUAAUUGCUGUUGAAAGUAAACUUUACAUACGAGACCGCCAUCUUAUCUAACCUCUUCGCCCAAGAACUUCGCCGUUUUCAACCUCAGGUAUCCAUUCAUCUGCUUUGAUGGUACUGCAAGUAUUGUCAGCCAUACGUCAUAACAAGGUUCUGGCCUCAGUUCCAGUACUUGUAGUAUUAUAUAUCAUCGCUGAUCAAAGGAGCAUCAGAAGGUGGAAGGAGUUUAAGGGAAGUUUUACAAAAGAAGAGUUUGACAAGUUACUUGAUAUCCCAUCUGAGGGAAUACAGAAUUAAGGCUUGAGAUGGCAUCCACAUUACAAUUAUUGUUUAGAAGAUCAGCUCCAUUUUUCAUUGUGGCAGCUGCUGUUGCUGGUUACAAUAUACUUGAUAAUUAUACUGCAAAGAAUAUGUCCAUCAUGAAAAACAAAAGUAGACUGUAUGGGGGAAGACCAGAAGGAAAAGAAGCAUGGUGACACAGGACACUUACUUAAAGGCAGUUCUUGUUAAUUUUCACACACAUUAGUUAACCAUGAUUUGUGCACCUAUGCCUUGAAAACAGUUACAGAUGGUUUGCUUUAUUUUAACGGUUUGGUGUUAUAGAGGAUGAAAAUAAAUACACAGUUAUGUGAAAUUUUCCUAGUUGACAAUUUUCACUGGCAAAUUAAAA